RNAcentral lists this transfer RNA (76 nucleotides) under Endomicrobium sp. RNAcentral describes it as "tRNA-Asp". It matches the Rfam family "tRNA". Rfam says of the family: Transfer RNA (tRNA) molecules are approximately 80 nucleotides in length. Their secondary structure includes four short double-helical elements and three loops (D, anti-codon, and T loops). Further hydrogen bonds mediate the characteristic L-shaped molecular structure. tRNAs have two regions of fundamental functional importance: the anti-codon, which is responsible for specific mRNA codon recognition, and the 3' end, to which the tRNAs corresponding amino acid is attached (by aminoacyl-tRNA synthetases). tRNAs cope with the degeneracy of the genetic code in two manners: having more than one tRNA (with a specific anti-codon) for a particular amino acid; and 'wobble' base-pairing, i.e. permitting non-standard base-pairing at the 3rd anti-codon position. The record is from RNAcentral. Lineage: Bacteria; Pseudomonadati; Elusimicrobiota; Endomicrobiia; Endomicrobiales; Endomicrobiaceae.
GGGGAUGUGGUGUAGCUUGGUUUAACACACUGCCCUGUCAAGGCAGAGAACGCGGGUUCAAAUCCCGUCGUCCCCG